UACGGAGGGGGCCAGCGUUGCUCGGAAUUAUUGGGCGUAAAGCGCGUGUAGGCGGUUUCUUAAGUCUGAUGUGAAAGCCCUGGGCUCAACCCAGGAAGUGCAUUGGAUACUGGGAGACUUGAAUACGGGAGAGGGUAGUGGAAUUCCUAGUGUAGGAGUGAAAUCCGUAGAUAUUAGGAGGAACACCGGUGGCGAAGGCAGCUACCUGGACCGAUAUUGACGCUGAGACGCGAAAGCGUGGGGAGCAAACAGG
This 253-nucleotide ribosomal RNA is filed under the name uncultured bacterium. RNAcentral's name for it is "partial 16S ribosomal RNA". It matches the Rfam family "Bacterial small subunit ribosomal RNA", at positions 524 to 776 of the family's 1533-position model. The record is from RNAcentral.